ACAGGAAUAACAGCAGUAAGGAGAAUAUACCAUUAAGUGAUCACAUACUGGAUGAGUAGUGCUCCUCCUGGACUUCUCAGCAGAGGUUAAUGAAGAAAGCUUUGGUCAAAUUAACUGAUAUAAAUAACAAAUGGGUCAACCAAUCUUCACUGGCAUGUAAGAUCUAUGAUCUAUGAGUUUUGCUGGACUUUUUGGAGAUGAUUACCAAUUAUGGCUGAGAACCCUGUCUACAAUUAAAUCCUUUGUAUAUGGACACCAGACAGAGCCUGCCAUACCCAGGAGGCCAUUGAUUAAUUUCAAAAGUCCUAAGUGUACCAUUGGCAUAUGGAGCAUUCGAGCAUCCUUUUUCCUCUCUUAGUCCUGCUUCCUCUCGAGAAGUGUUCACUCCAUUCCACUUACACCAGUCACUCUUCAUACCACCAUUAGUUACAGAAGCAUCUGGUUCUGAAAGUAAAGGAAUGUAGAGAGGUUUGGAUGGAAAAAAAGCAUUAGAAUGAGUUUUCUCUUAUGGGUAUUAAAAUAGCACUUUAAGAAAGUGAUUAUUAUAAAUGUUUAAUUUUAUGUCAUAUAUUGUUGGAAUUUGAAAUUUAGCCUUUACUUGAAUGUAUACAGUAGAGUUUUAACAAAGCAAGUUCUAUAUUUAUUAUGUUUAGUGUGAUUUGAAAUUCCGUCUUCCAUGUUUUACAUAAAGUGAAAUUUAUGUAUGAUUUGUACAUAGAUAUACAAGAUUACAUUAAGAGCCUUUAAGAUUUAAAGAUUCUGGGACUUCCCUGGUGGUCCAGUGGCUAAGUCUCUGUACUCCCAAUGCAGGAGGACUGGGUACAAUCCCUAGUCAGGGAAUUAAAUAUCCUGAAUGACUCAACUAAGACCUGGCACAGCCAAAUAGAUAAAUAAGAUUUAAAGAUUUUAUAUUUGGUCAACAUAAUUGAGAUAAGAUUUGGGUUUUGAGGCCCAGUGGGUGCUUGCUUGUUUGUUCAUUUCCCCUAACAUUCAGGUUUAAGUCUACACCUUAGGCUGAGUUCCCUGGAAACUGACUGAGAUCACAUUGUGUGCAAAGGUUUAUUAGGAGGUGCUCUAAGGAGAUAUGGCUUCCCAAGUGGCACAGUGGUAAAGAAUCUGCCUGCCAAUGCAGGAGACAUCAGAGACACGGGUUUGGUCCCUGAGUUGGGAAGAUCUCCUGGAGAAGGAAAUGGCAACCCACUUGAGUAUUCUUGCCUGGAGAAUUCCAUGGACAGAGGAGCUUGGUGGGCUACAGUCCAUAGGGUCACAAAGAGUUGGACAUGACUGAGUGCCUGAACAUGUCACUCACUGAGCAUGUCACUCACUGAGCAUGUCACUAGGGAGACAGACCCAUGAGG
Molecule: transfer RNA, 1358 nt
Filed under: Bos indicus x Bos taurus (hybrid cattle)
Lineage: Eukaryota; Metazoa; Chordata; Mammalia; Artiodactyla; Bovidae
Description: lncRNA (ENSBIXG00000029153.1)
Source: RNAcentral